CUGAGCUCUGGUAGAGACGAAGCUAAAGAUACAGAACAACAUGGAGGACUAAUUCCUGUGCAUUCUUUAAAUCUUUUGCUGAAGAGUAUUGGUGCCACCCUUACAGAUGUACAAGAUGUAGUUUUUAAGCUUGCCUUUUUUCAACUCAACUACCAGUUCCAUACAACAUCUGAAUUGCAAUCUGAAGUAAUAAGACACUAUUCCAAACAGGCUAUUAAACAAAUGUACGUACUCAUUCUUGGACUUGAUGUUUUGGGAAAUCCCUUUGGCUUAAUUAGAGAAUUUUCAGAAGGAGUAGAAGCAUUUUUUUAUGAACCUUACCAGGGGGCCAUCCAGGGUCCUGAAGAGUUUGUGGAGGGAAUGGCACUAGGAUUGAAAGCCCUGGUUGGCGGAGCCGUUG
RNAcentral lists this long non-coding RNA (400 nucleotides) under Rattus norvegicus (Norway rat). RNAcentral's name for it is "long non-coding RNA NONRATT003622". Lineage: Eukaryota; Metazoa; Chordata; Mammalia; Rodentia; Muridae. The record is from RNAcentral.